AUUGAACGCUGGCGGCAGGCCUAACACAUGCAAGUCGAACGGUAACAGCAAGCAGCUUGCUGCUUUGCUGACGAGCGGCGGGCGGGCGAGUAAUGUCUGGGAAACUGCCUGUUGGAGGGGGUUAACUACUGGAAACGGUACCUAAUACCGCAUAACGUCGCAAGAACAAAGAGGGGGCGUUUCGUGCCUCUUGUGAUGGGAUGAGCGCAGAUGGGGCUAGCGAGUAGGUGGGGUAACGGCUCACCUAGGCGCCUCUCUCUAGCUGGUACGCGAGGAUGACCAGCCACACUGGAACAGAGGCACGGCACAGACUCCUAGAGGAGGCAGCGGUGGAGAAUAUUGCGCGAGGGAGGAGAGCCGGAUACAGCCAUGCCGCGGGUAUGAAGAAGGACUUCGGGUUGUAGAGUACUUUAAGCGGGGAGGAAGGAAAGAAAGUUAAUACCUUAUCUUAUUGACGUUACCCGCAGAAGAAGCACCGGCUAACUCCGUG
RNAcentral lists this ribosomal RNA (490 nucleotides) under uncultured bacterium. Its description in RNAcentral is "partial 16S ribosomal RNA". It matches the Rfam family "Bacterial small subunit ribosomal RNA", at positions 29 to 507 of the family's 1533-position model. The record is from RNAcentral.